UGAGCAGGCGACCGUGGGGGCUGCCAAAAUUGAAAGGUUUUUUUUUUAUUAUUUAUUUUUGGGGUUGGGGGGUGGGAGGGAAAGAUUUUAAUAUUCAUCCCCCCACCUGGUGCUGAGUGCGGGUCCUGCCUCCGCCGCUGGAAGAGAAACCUCGGCGAACAACAAAGGAGAGGAUGCGGGAGACCCGCAGCGAAAAGAGCUUUAUUGGCACGGCACGGCACGGCACGGCGCGACCCGACGGGCUCCUUGCGGCAUCCGCACCGGCUGGGCUACGAGCCCCGGGGGGGGAGUGGGGUGGGGGUGGGGGUAGGGGGCUGCCCCCAAAUACCUGCAGCACCCCGGGGGGGGUCGGGGUGCAAAGAGUCGUCCCAGGGACCCCGAACUCCUGUCAAUGUUCCCGCGGGCACCGUCCCGGAGGCGAGGGUCUGCGCGCAGGGCUGCAAAGAGAGAUGGACCCCCCCCCCCUCACCGCCAUCAUCAAAGGACCCCCCCCGCCCCCAGCCUGGGUGCAGCUGCCCCAUGGGGGAGGGUGGUGGUGGGGGGGACGGGACCGUCCCUUCCAGUAAGGCCUGUCCUUGCCCAGGGCGAGGUACCUGCUGGGAGCACUGGGGCAGCGGGUCGGGGAUGGAGGGAUGCGGGGCAGGUUGGCCUCCAGCUGCAAAGGGAUGGGAGAAGGGAUGGGAGAAGGGAUGGGAGAAGGGAUGGGAGAAGGAAGGGAUGGGAGAAGGAAGGGAUGGGAGAAGGAAGGGAUGGGAGGUGAAGGGCAGGGAAAGGGGUGGGGGUGGCGAUGGGCUCCCAGGCACCCCUCUGGCUGAAGAGGUGGCGGAAAAAAAUUGAAACAAAACCAAAAAAGCGUGAAAAAGGAAGGGAAGAAAUAAAAAAGAGCUGGGUGGCA
RNAcentral lists this long non-coding RNA (895 nucleotides) under Calidris pygmaea (Spoon-billed sandpiper). Its description in RNAcentral is "lncRNA (ENSCPGG00000019197.1)". The record is from RNAcentral. Lineage: Eukaryota; Metazoa; Chordata; Aves; Charadriiformes; Scolopacidae.